UACGAAGGGUGCAAGCGUUGCUCGGAAUUAUUGGGCGUAAAGGGUAGGUAGGUGGUAAUAAAAGUCUGGGGUGAAAUCCCUGAGCUCAACUCAGGACGUGCCUUGGAAACUUUAUUACUAGAGUGCUGGAGAGGUCCGCAGAAUUCCCGGUGUAGCGGUGAAAUUCGUAGAUAUCGGGAGGAACACCGGUGGCGAAGGCGGCGACCUGGGUAGAUACUGACGCUGAGGUGCGAAAGCGUGGGGAGCAAACAGG
Molecule: ribosomal RNA, 253 nt
Filed under: uncultured bacterium
Lineage: Bacteria
Description: partial 16S ribosomal RNA
Rfam family: Bacterial small subunit ribosomal RNA
Source: RNAcentral